This 72-nucleotide transfer RNA is filed under the name Phrynosoma platyrhinos (Desert horned lizard). Its description in RNAcentral is "tRNA-OTHER". The record is from RNAcentral. Lineage: Eukaryota; Metazoa; Chordata; Lepidosauria; Squamata; Phrynosomatidae.
UCCAGCAUAGCAUAGUGGUUUCAGUGUUGGACUACAACUCUGGAGACCAGGGUUUGAUUCCCUGCUCAGUCA